Molecule: non-coding RNA, 3147 nt
Organism: Zonotrichia albicollis (white-throated sparrow)
Lineage: Eukaryota; Metazoa; Chordata; Aves; Passeriformes; Passerellidae
Source: RefSeq, a predicted model, not a curated record
GCCCAGGAGGGGUCACUGCGGGCACUGUGGGCACCGCCCGGGCGAGCUCCAGCAGCCGGGCCCCGGACCGGCUGCCGUGACCGUCGGGGGGAGCUGCCCUGGGCUACACCUCCCUCCCUGCCCUUCCCGGCAAAGAUGAACUUGCUAGGCCCACCCUAAUGCUCUGGGGUUGUCUCCUGCCUGAUGGACUGCCACCAAAGCUCUAAAGCCCUCUCACACAAAGGCGCCACGGGACUCCCACCCUCGACAUGAGCGCUCUGCCUGCCUCUGGCGCUGCCUGUCAGACCCGCUUCAGCUGGAAUCAAGUCCCUUCACUGCCUGGAAGGAGGAAAGAAAAUGAAGAGGAGAACAAAUAUUCCUUGCUUUCCUGAGGCUGGUAAUCCAGGCAGUUGCAGUCUCAACCUCUUAUAGCUCAGUUUUCCCAGUAGCUUUAGGAAUAUUUUCUGCAGGCUUGGCUCUCCAAUGUCAGAGCUGCCAGAGGACCAUGGCAGAUUAGUUGGUAACCGGCAAUCUCUCAUAAUUUAUUCCAGGAUCUUUAAAUUUCUGCGUGAUUUUCCCAUAAAAGACAGUUUCUCUAGAGCACGUUAGAUGGAAAAUAUUUUGCAAGAUCAUUAGAAGAAUUUCCAUUAAAAAUCUGUUUGAGGGAGCUCCUUCCUGAUUCUGAAAAUGAAGUUGUAAAGGAGCAGUCUUUUUUUUAAGUUGUAUUUGUACUGGGAAUUCUCAGAAAUCCCAGCCAAGAAUUAUUGUAGCAUUGUACAAAGCUGAAAUUCCCUGUAGCUCUAUGUUUAUCACUUGCUAAGACCCCAUGACAGCAUAUGCUUUUGUAGUCACAUAUUUACUCUCUGUGACUGCAAAAUUUGCUGUCUAGUUGAGUGAAAUCACCUGUCUUUAGUCAUUCUGGUCAAACUUGAAAAACGGAAUUAUUUAUUAUUUCUCAAAUACUUCUGUUUCCUCUUGAUUUUCUUAAUUUUUACUUGCUCGAUUAAGUACCAUGUCCUCCUGUGAAUCUUGGAUAGAAAUAUGCUUGAAUGUUUUGCUGAUGUAAGUUCCAGGAUUAGAUCCAUCACAAAAAAUUUUGGGUUCUUUUGAAAAAUAUGAGAUUUUAAUUGUUCUUAAUUUUUCAGCAUAGGAGUCCAUCACUGUAAUCCACACUUUAAGAAUGACCGAAUGAUUUAACUGUAUGGUAGUUCCCCUUGGAUAUAUAUUGUAUUUAAAGGUUGAAGUAAGGCUUGAUGAAAGUAUUUGCCUUUAGCUGUUCAUUGCUUCUUUAUCUAUUGCUUCAGCUGUGAAAAGCUUUUUUAUUUGGUUGAGGCUUGUUUGUUUCUCACUGCUAAACUUUUCUAACAUUUUAAAAUUUGGCUUUACAUGCAGGUUUGAAUUUUCACUUCUCUUUGGAGUAUUUUACAUGCUAAAAUGCUUUCUGUAAAACACAGCUGUAAAAAAAAAAAAAAAGUGAAGUAAAUCUAUACUUUAUGUCUUCUUGAAACUUUAUUCUCUUUAAAAAGGGUUUAUGUAAUUUUACAUAAUUCUUUUGGCAGGAAUGUUUAUUGCCCAGCUGGUUGAAAUUAUUAAUGUACCUCUCAAGCUGCAUUUUCAAAGAUCAGUAAUAUAUAUAUAAACUUUUUGGAGGGUCCUUGAUAUGUAGGAUUUUUAUUGGAGAUCCUUGUUCCACUUCAGUAAAAGGAUGACACAAGAUGUUCACUUUAAAAAGUCUUUGACAUCCUCCUGAGAAUGUUUUGAUAGAAUGGCAUACAUUUGGUUACAAUUAGUAAGCCAAACAAUUUUCCAUUGUUAUCUCACUGUGUUUGUCUAGACCCUGUAAGGAGCUUUCAGAAAAUAUCCAUCUCCAUGUUUCAGUUAAUUGAUUGCAUGUCCAGCAGGAUUAUUCUAUUUUAUAAAGCUCCUUUUCCUUUUAAUUUUAUCACAGAGAUUUUACACAAAGGCAUGUGGUAGAAAGCAAAAGGGAAAUACUGGCACAGUUAAGCAUAAAGAGAUAUUGUACUUGUAUCAGGUCUAAUAGUCCUGUGUGUGGGAAAAAAUAUCUAUGUGUUCCUGCUACUUCUGUGUGCAAGAUGUUAUACCCGAGGGCUGAAAGUAAUAGUAGCUGGUGUGAAAGUAUUCACCAAUAUCAAGUGCAGAUGAAAGCCUUUGGAGCCAGCUGAAAGCUGAGUUAAUAAUUCUUCGGCUUAAUAUUUGAACUUGCACUCUGUCUGGAAUAAUAAAUGAUGGGUGACUUAAUUUUAUUUUAAUUCUAUUAGCAGUGUGAUUAAAAGACUCAAAUCCUUAUCUGAAAUCUUUGCUGUUGUGUUUUGGUUAUUUGCCGUAUAAUCUAGAGUAUCAUCUUUCCUUUUGUAUGAUAGCUGAAAUACAUCUUUCUCUUGACUGUCUUACUUUCUAUUUAGAAACUGCUAAGUCUCAGCCAAAAUCAUUGUCUGUCUGUUUGGGCAGUAAAAACACCUUGCUACGUGCAUCCCAUAUUGCUUGCAGUUGAUUGGAGGUUACAUGAUUAAGCUGGCUGUAAUGUGAAUUAGUGUCUAUGUCACAGAAAUUCCCCGUGCAAUUAUCACCCCUCGGAAAUGCUGCAGUGCCAGGUUUAGGCCUGAUAACAAGAACUGGUGCUUCUGUGCCUCCUUUAAUCAUCCUCUUUUGUUUACACUCUUUUUGAGAAGCCACUGAUCACAACUCCUGUAACAGUAGGUACACGCUGGCAGCAGAGGAAUGCAGAGCUUGUUGUGCUAUUCUGCUUCAUAAACCUGUGUCCUUGAAGUCUCCUGCAUCCCUACCCUGUCAGACUGAUUUAUGCAGUAGCCAUGUUUGUCAAAGUAUUUGGCACCAAUGACAUCAUCUCUGUUGAAAUGCUGGACAGCGUGAUGAGUCCCAGAUGUUAAUGCACACCAAAAGCUGAGAAAGAAUGAAAUAUAAAGAUCAACUGUAACAGCUAUGGAGGUCUGUACUCAGUUUACAUCUGAUGUUCAUACAUGAAGAAUCUGGGAUUUUUUCAAGGGUUCCUAAAGCUGUUGAGACUUACAGGCAACCCUGUGGUUACUGUUAAGGCCAACAGAGCUGAACACAUCUUGCAGAAGCUGGAGUUUCUUUCAUGAGAAAUGAAUCCUGAGAUGUGAGAGAAAAUAAAGUAAGGUAUUCAUG